RNAcentral lists this transfer RNA (82 nucleotides) under Malassezia sympodialis. RNAcentral's name for it is "tRNA-Tyr". It matches the Rfam family "tRNA". Rfam says of the family: Transfer RNA (tRNA) molecules are approximately 80 nucleotides in length. Lineage: Eukaryota; Fungi; Basidiomycota; Malasseziomycetes; Malasseziales; Malasseziaceae. RNAcentral also lists the same sequence under 3 other names. The record is from RNAcentral.
UGCAGAUAGUCCUUACUGGUAAAGGAGGUGCUCUGUAAAAGCAUUGACUGUGUCAUUGUGGGUUCGAGUCCCACAUCUGCAA